GAGCGCGCUACCACUUGAGCCACAUCCCCAGACCAGAGGGUCUAGACCUGGUCGUUCAGCCUCUCCCAGCUGCCUUCAUUCAUGGGAAGAUGCUCUUCUCAAGGGAAGCCUUGUGCAGAAGCCCCAGCAAGCUGAUGUCGGAGGGGAGGGCACAGGGCGCUGGACCACCUCCUGCUGACGGCCCUGCCCGCUCUCCUUGUCCCAGCACCGCUGGGCACCCGCUGCGCUAGUCAGCUGCCACAGACCUGUCGGCCUCACAGUACUGUCUUCUCGAAGCAACAGCAAAAUGUGUUUUACAUAGGAUGACCCCAGAUACUGUCUGAUGGGGAAACAAAUUUUGUUGGAUGCACAGUUUUGCUUUGCAUUUUUAACACGGCAUCUGCAGUGUACAGUGGAAUUCAGUUCAACUUCUGAAGAGACAGAACAAAAGACAAAGUAAAUUGGAAGCCGAAGCCAUCAUUCUCCUCCUCCUUUUCCAACUUCAGUCCUGUUAAUGCUAAAUAGAUGGUGAGACAUAACAAGCCCAGAAAGCUCCGUGACCUGGGCGCUCAUCUUACUUAUUAUCUUUUUUUUUUUUGACGACAUUGGGGAUUAAGCUCAGGGCGCUCUAACACUGAGCCACAUCCCCAGCACAGCGGUUUUUAUUUUCGAUCUGAGACAGCUGCCCAGCUGCCCUUCCACUCAGGACCUCUCGCUCAGCUUCUGAGUUCUGGGAUUGAGGCGUGGCCGCGCCCAGCUCUGGGUGCUUUGUUCUGCUGGGGGCUGCCAUCUUGAGUCUGCUGGGAGAAAAAGAACUCAGUGAACAUGAUAUAGUAAAGCAAAACCAAGGGCCAGACUUAAAGUGCUUCCAGAACAGACUUCAAACAAGUCCUCUUAAAGGUCUUUGGAAAACACUAAACCAGGAUCGAGUAUGAGCACUAUUCUGUGCUGUGUCUAACAAUGAGUAUUUCCAUGGCAUAAAAUGCUAAAUACUUUAUGAGUAGUAUAUUAAUAAAUAUACGACUAUUACUACUAGUCUA
Marmota flaviventris (yellow-bellied marmot) is the source of this 1019-nucleotide non-coding RNA. NCBI's taxonomy places the organism in Eukaryota, Metazoa, Chordata, Mammalia, Rodentia, Sciuridae. The record is from RefSeq and is a predicted model, not a curated record.